CAACUCACCACGUAAACAGUGGCGUAGGUGCGCAAACUGGGAGGGAUCUCGGAGAGCAUCAUACCCGCCGCAGCGCAGGCACAGCUCUUUGUCCACGGAUGGUGAUACUCAUAGCAGCUUGAAAAUCUAUGGAAUGCUGUUACAAAUAUGAUGAUCCAACUUGCUCGAUUCGCAGUAAAUCACGCUGGUCAUUCCUCGAAUCAGCUACAGCUGGUUAUCCACUUGGUCUCAGCUGAAGAUUGGAAUCCAUAGGAAAACACGACAAGCUUCAGCAAAGAACCAACGCUUACCCAAUGUUUAUUUAGUUGUUAUGGCACGUUGG
Molecule: long non-coding RNA, 322 nt
Organism: Drosophila simulans
Lineage: Eukaryota; Metazoa; Arthropoda; Insecta; Diptera; Drosophilidae
Exons: 3
Source: RefSeq, a predicted model, not a curated record